Micropterus dolomieu (smallmouth bass) is the source of this 543-nucleotide long non-coding RNA. RefSeq lists it as uncharacterized. NCBI's taxonomy places the organism in Eukaryota, Metazoa, Chordata, Actinopteri, Centrarchiformes, Centrarchidae. The transcript is spliced from 3 exons. The record is from RefSeq and is a predicted model, not a curated record.
CAGUGAUAAGAGCUGUAGUGGUAACGACCAUGAAGUAACUGCAGCCCUCUCUGCAUCACUUAUUAUGAAUAAAAUAUGAUGUGCGGUGUUAAUAAGCCAAGUAUUAGGACACUUUGUCAGUGUGCCAGUGACAGAUGAUCUGACUGCACCAGGAUGAAAACUGAUGAGCAACAUAAGAGGACAGAACUUAGAGGUAUGUUUCCCCAAAAAGCCCCCUGAAGAGAACAGACGGGCCUGCUCCACUUCUCCCCUGACUGACAGCACACUCCAGAGGAGCCACGCUGCAGGACACGCACACUGAUCCAGUCUGACACGCCUGACCUUUCCUGGGCUGCAUGGCUGGCUCACCGCGCACCGCGCCCUGCCCGGCUGAAAAGGCCAUGCAAUGCCAUGUAGGCAGUGCCAUCGCUGCCCACCACGGCACCAUCUUACUGCCAUCUCAAGAGCUGGCAAGGUGAAUGCACUGCGGAAAGACAGCCACUCAAUCUGAGAGGCUCUCAACUGCAAAACAAGGGUAUGCCAUCUGAAUUUGGCAGUGAUACA